AACGAACGCUGGCGGCAGGCUUAACACAUGCAAGUCGAACGCGUGUAGCAAUACACGAGUGGCGCACGGGUGAGUAACGCGUGGAUAUCUGCCUUUUGGUUCGGAAUAACCCCGGGAAACUGGGGCUAAUACCGGAUGGUUCCUUCGGGAUAAAGAUUUAUCGCCAAAAGAUGAGUCCGCGUACGAUUAGCUAGUUGGUGAGGUAAUGGCUCACCAAGGCGACGAUCGUUAGCUGGUCUGAGAGGACGAUCAGCCACACUGGGACUGAGACACGGCCCAGACUCCUACGGGAGGCAGCAGUGGGGAAUAUUGGACAAUGGGCGCAAGCCUGAUCCAGCCAUGCCGCGUGAAUGAUGAAGGCCUUAGGGUUGUAAAGUUCUUUCACCGAUGAAGAUAAUGACGGUAGUCGGAGAAGAAGCCCCGGCUAACUUCGUGCCAGCCGCCGCCGUAA
RNAcentral lists this ribosomal RNA (451 nucleotides) under uncultured bacterium. RNAcentral's name for it is "partial 16S ribosomal RNA". It matches the Rfam family "Bacterial small subunit ribosomal RNA", at positions 29 to 523 of the family's 1533-position model. The record is from RNAcentral.